This 1436-nucleotide ribosomal RNA is filed under the name uncultured Bordetella sp. Its description in RNAcentral is "partial 16S-23S ribosomal RNA intergenic spacer". It matches the Rfam family "Bacterial small subunit ribosomal RNA". Lineage: Bacteria; Pseudomonadati; Pseudomonadota; Betaproteobacteria; Burkholderiales; Alcaligenaceae. The record is from RNAcentral.
GGUUCGAUUCUGGCCCAGACUUACGCUGGCGGGAUGUUUACACAUGCAAGUCGAACGGCAGCACGGACUUCGGUCUGUGGAGAGUGGUGAACGAAGAGAGUAAUGUAUCGAACGCCUAUAGCGGGGAUAACUAUUGAAAAGCGUAGCUAUUACCGCAUAAUAUCUCUUCGGGAAAGGAUCUCGGCCCCGCAAUUAUUGAGCGGCCGAUACUGGAUUAUUAGUUGCGGGGCGGCAACGUCCCCAAUAAGGUGACGAUCCGUAGCUGGUUUGAGAGGACGACCAGCCACACUGGACUGACACGGCCCGACUCCUACGGGAGGCAGCAGUGGGGAAUUUUGGAUAAUGGGGAAACUCCUGAUCCAGCCAUCAUCCGCAGUGUGCGAUGAAGGCUCUGGAGCCAAAGCACUUUGCAGGGAAAGAAACGGCACGGGAUAAUAUUCCAACUGACGGUACUGUGAGAUUACAAUUAAUAAUCAUGUGCCAGCAGCUGAGGUAAUAUGUAGGUGCAAGCGUUAAUCGAAUUGAUUAGCGUAAAGGUGCAAGAGCGAAGUUCCGGAAAGAAAGAUGUGAAAUCCCAGAGCUUAACUUUCGAACUGCAUUUAAUUACCGAGCUUAGGAGUGUGUGUCAGAGGAGGUAAAUCUAUGCGUAGCAGUGAAUGCGUGAUAAAGGUGGAGGAACACCACCGGCAAGGCAGUUCGGGAUAGCACUGACGCUCAUGCACGAAAGCGUGGGUUAAACAGGAUUAGAUACCCCGGUAGUCCACGCCCUUAAACGAUGUCAAUCUUCGGCUAGCCUCGGACUUAGGCGCAGCUAAUGUGUGAAGUUGACCGCCUGGGGAGUACGGUCGCAAAGAUUAAAACUCAAAGGAAUUGAUGACUCCGCACAAGCGGUGAUGAUGGGACACGACCGAUGCAACGCGAAACCUUUACCUGUCUUUACGUCUGAAUCCGUAAGAGAUUUUGGGGAGUGUCGCAAGAGAACUGAACACAGGUGCUGCAUGGCUACCGUCAGCUCGUGUCGAGAUGUUGGGUUAAGUCCCGCAACGAGCGCAACCUCAAGUCAUUAGUUGUUACGAAAGGGGCACUCUAAUGAGACUGCUAUGACAAAACCGAGAAGGUGGGGAUGACGUCAAGUCCUCAUGGCCCUUAUGGGUAGGCCACACGUCAUACUGUCGGACAGAGGGUCGCCAACCCGCGAGGGGGAGCCAAUCCCAGGAAACCGAUCGUAGUCUGAUCAAAGUCUGCAACUCGACUGCGCGGAAGUCGGAAUCGCUAGUAAUCGCGGAUCAGCAUGUCGCAGAAUACAUUCCCGGGUCUGUACACCGCCCGUCACACCAUGGAGUGGGUUUUCUACCAGAAGUAGUUGGGGCCUAACCGCAAGGAGGGCGAUUACCACGGUAGGAUUCAUGACUGGGGUGAAGUCGUAACAAGGUAGC